AUGCUUUACUACUUGGCUUUACCGCUCUAUCUUCUGCUUGUUUACUCAGGCUUUGUUCAAGGUGAUGCUGUGUUUCAGACUCUUCCGGAGGUGACAGUCUCAGAGGGACACGAUGUAUUAUUACCGUGUAAUUUCACCACCAUUUCUAACACCCCGAAACUUUUCUGGUACCGCCAGUAUCCGAACCAACCACCCCAGCAUAUACUGACAGCCUAUAAAUCUGCUGCUGAGAAGAACACGUUCACCUCUGGAAAGUUCUCAACCGUUUUGAUCGACGAUAAUAAGACGGUUCCCUUGAAGAUCGGGGCUGUGUCGCUGCAAGACAGAGCC
Chrysemys picta bellii (western painted turtle) is the source of this 330-nucleotide non-coding RNA. NCBI's taxonomy places the organism in Eukaryota, Metazoa, Chordata, Testudines, Emydidae. The record is from the annotation of a RefSeq genome assembly.